Molecule: ribosomal RNA, 378 nt
Filed under: Penaeus duorarum (pink shrimp)
Lineage: Eukaryota; Metazoa; Arthropoda; Malacostraca; Decapoda; Penaeidae
Description: partial 16S ribosomal RNA
Rfam family: Bacterial large subunit ribosomal RNA
Source: RNAcentral
AUAAUCAUUAGUCUUUUAAUUGAAGGCUUGUAUGAAUGGUUGGACAAAAAGCAAACUGUCUCAGUUGUAAUAAUUGAAUUUAACUUUUGAGUGAAAAGGCUUAAAUAAGUUAGGGGGACGAUAAGACCCUAUAAAGCUUGACAAUAAGCCGUUUAUAUUAUAAAUUGUUAGUAUAACUUGAUUUUAAAUGGUGUUUGUUGCGUUGGGGCGACGAGAAUAUAAAAGAUAACUGUUCUUAUAAUAUUUAAUAACAGAAAUAGCUGGAAAAUUAAUGAUCCUUUCUUUAAGAUCAUAAGAUUAAGUUACUUUAGGGAUAACAGCGUAAUCUUCCUUGAGAGUUCAUAUCGACAGGAAGGGUUGCGACCUCGAUGUUGAAUU